This 253-nucleotide ribosomal RNA is filed under the name uncultured bacterium. RNAcentral's name for it is "partial 16S ribosomal RNA". It matches the Rfam family "Bacterial small subunit ribosomal RNA", at positions 524 to 776 of the family's 1533-position model. The record is from RNAcentral.
UACGAACCGUACGAACGUUAUUCGGAAUCACUGGGCUUAAAGCGCGCGUAGGCGGAUGUUUAAGUGUCUUGUGAAAUCCCACGGCUCAACCGUGGAACUGCUGGGCAUACUGGACAUCUCGAGGCACUCAGGGGCGAGCGGAACAAGUGGUGGAGCGGUGAAAUGCGUAGAUAUCACUUGGAACGCCAAUGGUGAAGACAGCUCGCUGGGGGUGUCCUGACGCUGAGGCGCGAAAGCCAGGGGAGCGAACGGG